This 882-nucleotide long non-coding RNA is filed under the name Lotus japonicus. RNAcentral's name for it is "long non-coding RNA (LJAP_LNC000619)". The record is from RNAcentral. Lineage: Eukaryota; Viridiplantae; Streptophyta; Magnoliopsida; Fabales; Fabaceae.
CAAUGUUAUUUUAUAAUUACAAAAAAGAAAAAAUACCAAAGAAACAAAAGCAUUAUAAAUACCCAAAACAAUGAAAGGAAGCACCAAAAAUCGAGUUUGGAGUGAUUGACAUGGAAGCUCAAGCUCUUUGCAAAAGAGCUUGAAGAUGCACCAAAACACCAAUUGAACCAGAACCAGUGAAAGCAGUCAACGAAGCAAUUACAGAGAGAAAGAGAGUGAAAGAUGUCUGACCUAGAUACAAUUCUGAAUAAUUCAACAAUUAAAUUGACGAGGUAAUUAUAUUCAUGUAUUUUCUGAAACAAAACGCGUACGUAUUCAAUGCCAAUUCCCCGAGACUUUGACAUGUUCCUACCAAUAUCUAUUCUUGAACUUUGGCUUAAGCCCUGAUUUAGAAAAAUCAAUCACAGUGAUUAUUGGCUUUUGCCUGCAACAUCUUCAACAAGUGAGUUAAAAUUUUAUUUACUUUGCAACAUCUUUUUUAAUACACUACUUCUGAUUCUUAUUGGGAAAAAUAAUAGCACAAUAACGAUAACAUGAAUUAAUUUUUUUAUUAGCAAUACACACAUACUCAUGGUGAUUGAUGAAUUCAUUUUAGAAUAUGUGUAAUUAAUAGUAUAGAAAUUACUAUCAAGAUUAACGAAGUCAGAGAUAAAGUCUCAAAUUAAUACUUAAAAGAGUACUAGAGAGUAGAGGCAACAAAACUUAAAAUUUCUAUACAUCUGGUCAAAAGUCAAACAACAAGGCAAAAAGCUAAAAUAGAGAACUAACUAUUAAGAUUCAAGAACCUGAUGUUGCAAACCUGCUGUCUAAUUUUCAGCAUGAUGCAACGGUGAAUGAAACUACAGGGAUGACUCUACUAUGGCUGCCCUGAGUUUGAGUGGG